RNAcentral lists this ribosomal RNA (465 nucleotides) under Bacillus sp. enrichment culture clone A5k. RNAcentral describes it as "bacterial SSU rRNA". It matches the Rfam family "Bacterial small subunit ribosomal RNA", at positions 79 to 530 of the family's 1533-position model. Lineage: Bacteria; Bacillati; Bacillota; Bacilli; Caryophanales; Bacillaceae. The record is from RNAcentral.
CUUGCUCCCUGAUGUUACGGCGGACGGGUGAGUACACGUGGGUACCUGCCUGUAAGACUGGGAUAACUCCGGGAAACCGGGGCUAAUACCGGAUGCUUGUUUGAACCGCAUGGUUCAAACAUAAAAGGUGGCUUCGGCUACCACUUACAGAUGGACCCGCGGCGCAUUAGCUAGUUGGUGAGGUAACGGCUCACCAAGGCAACGAUGCGUAGCCGACCUGAGAGGGUGAUCGGCCACACUGGGACUGAGACACGGCCCAGACUCCUACGGGAGGCAGCAGUAGGGAAUCUUCCGCAAUGGACGAAAGUCUGACGGAGCAACGCCGCGUGAGUGAUGAAGGUUUUCGGAUCGUAAAGCUCUGUUGUUAGGGAAGAACAAGUACCGUUCGAAUAGGGCGGUACCUUGGACGGUACCUAACCAGAAAGCCACGGCUAACUACGUGCCAGCAGCCGCGGUAAUACGUAA